RNAcentral lists this ribosomal RNA (468 nucleotides) under uncultured bacterium. RNAcentral describes it as "partial 16S ribosomal RNA". It matches the Rfam family "Bacterial small subunit ribosomal RNA", at positions 28 to 507 of the family's 1533-position model. The record is from RNAcentral.
GACGAACGCUGGCGGCGUGCUUAACACAUGCAAGUCGAACGGAAAGGCCCUGCUUUUGUGGGGUGCUCGAGUGGCGAACGGGUGAGUAACACGUGAGUAACCUGCCCUUGACUUUGGGAUAACUUCAGGAAACUGGGGCUAAUACCGGAUAGGAGCUCCUGCUGCAUGGUGGGGGUUGGAAAGUUUCGGCGGUUGGGGAUGGACUCGCGGCUUAUCAGCUUGUUGGUGGGGUAGUGGCUUACCAAGGCUUUGACGGGUAGCCGGCCUGAGAGGGUGACCGGCCACAUUGGGACUGAGAUACGGCCCAGACUCCUACGGGAGGCAGCAGUGGGGAAUAUUGCACAAUGGGCGGAAGCCUGAUGCAGCAACGCCGCGUGCGGGAUGACGGCCUUCGGGUUGUAAACCGCUUUCGCCCGUGACGAAGCGUGAGUGACGGUAAUGGGUGAAGAAGCACCGGCUAACUACGUG